RNAcentral lists this ribosomal RNA (432 nucleotides) under uncultured Bradyrhizobiaceae bacterium. RNAcentral describes it as "bacterial SSU rRNA". It matches the Rfam family "Bacterial small subunit ribosomal RNA", at positions 8 to 486 of the family's 1533-position model. Lineage: Bacteria; Pseudomonadati; Pseudomonadota; Alphaproteobacteria; Hyphomicrobiales; Nitrobacteraceae. The record is from RNAcentral.
AGAGUUUGAUCCUGGCUCAGAGCGAACGCUGGCGGCAGGCUUAACACAUGCAAGUCGAACGGGCACUUCGGUGCUAGUGGCAGACGGGUGAGUAACACGUGGGAACGUACCUUUCGGUUCGGAAUAAUCCAGAGAAACUUGGACUAAUACCGGAUACGCCCUUCGGGGGAAAGAUUUAUCGCCGAUAGAUCGGCCCGCGUCUGAUUAGCUAGUUGGUGAGGUAAUGGCUCACCAAGGCGACGAUCAGUAGCUGGUCUGAGAGGAUGAUCAGCCACAUUGGGACUGAGACACGGCCCAAACUCCUACGGGAGGCAGCAGUGGGGAAUAUUGGACAAUGGGCGCAAGCCUGAUCCAGCCAUGCCGCGUGAGUGAUGAAGGCCUUAGGGUUGUAAAGCUCUUUUGUCCGGGAAGAUAAUGACUGUACCGGAAGAA